This 110-nucleotide transfer RNA is filed under the name Streptomyces sp. ISL-11. RNAcentral's name for it is "tRNA-Arg". RNAcentral also lists the same sequence under 1 other name. The record is from RNAcentral. Lineage: Bacteria; Bacillati; Actinomycetota; Actinomycetes; Kitasatosporales; Streptomycetaceae.
GCCCGUGGACACCCGUGGUACGGAAACCCACAGGUCAGCCGACCAACGAGAGGUCAUGCGCCAGGCGCCUUCUAAGCGCUUGGCCGCAGGUUCGAGUCCUGCCGGGGGCG